This 537-nucleotide ribosomal RNA is filed under the name Alternaria sp. MP-2. RNAcentral's name for it is "eukaryotic LSU rRNA". The stretch from base 161 to 314 matches the Rfam family "5.8S ribosomal RNA". The record is from RNAcentral. Lineage: Eukaryota; Fungi; Ascomycota; Dothideomycetes; Pleosporales; Pleosporaceae.
AUAUGAAGGCGGGCUGGAAUCUCUCGGGGUUACAGCCUUGCUGAAUUAUUCACCCUUGUCUUUUGCGUACUUCUUGUUUCCUUGGUGGGUUCGCCCACCACUAGGACAAACAUAAACCUUUUGUAAUUGCAAUCAGCGUCAGUAACAAAUUAAUAAUUACAACUUUCAACAACGGAUCUCUUGGUUCUGGCAUCGAUGAAGAACGCAGCGAAAUGCGAUAAGUAGUGUGAAUUGCAGAAUUCAGUGAAUCAUCGAAUCUUUGAACGCACAUUGCGCCCUUUGGUAUUCCAAAGGGCAUGCCUGUUCGAGCGUCAUUUGUACCCUCAAGCUUUGCUUGGUGUUGGGCGUCUUGUCUCUAGCUUUGCUGGAGACUCGCCUUAAAGUAAUUGGCAGCCGGCCUACUGGUUUCGGAGCGCAGCACAAGUCGCACUCUCUAUCAGCAAAGGUCUAGCAUCCAUUAAGCCUUUUUUCCCCCUUUGACCUCGGAUCAGGUAGGGAUACCCGCUGAACUUAAGCAUAUCAAUAAGCGGAGGAAAA